AUGCAUGCUGGGUGUGGGGAAGUCGUGAAAGAAAAGAAGUCAGCUGCGUCGUUUGACAUCACUGCUAUCUUCUUACUGGUUAUGCAGGUCGUAGUGGGUGGCACACAAAGCUUUGCACUGGAUUGCGAGGCUUUGUGCUUCUCUGGAGUGCGACAGGUUUGA
RNAcentral lists this non-coding RNA (162 nucleotides) under Escherichia coli BL21(DE3). RNAcentral also lists the same sequence under 1 other name. The record is from RNAcentral. Lineage: Bacteria; Pseudomonadati; Pseudomonadota; Gammaproteobacteria; Enterobacterales; Enterobacteriaceae.